CAUAAACAUAAACGUACACACAGAAAUAUAUACCUCAAGCAUCCACUUAAGGUUUCUGUAGUAAGCAGGAUCAAUGGCUUCAAUAUCAUGGUAAGUAACCUUGGCACCAAGUAUGUGCUUGUAGAAAGAUCUAGUGAAAUGGACAUCCAAAAGUUGGGCAUCAAAGAGAGCUUUUCCAACCUAGGGAGAGAAAAUUGUUAGUAGUAGCGGUGGUGGUGGUGGUAGCUGGUAAUAAUAAUAAUAUCAAUAAUCCUUUACUCACCACUCGUCCAACAAAUUUGAAAUAUGAGAGGUGUUCAGUCUGAUACACAGAGUUAGGGUUUGGUUGAAAUGUCAAGUCAUUUCCAACAGUCGUGAAUAGAAGGGCACCCUUGUCAAAAAUAACUCGUGAUAGUAACUGAUACCACUCUCUUGUGAGUCCACCGGCAUCAAUGCCUUCUUCUCCUUGGAAAUGAACAGUGAGUCUACCCUUCAAGUCCUGGGGUGAGCGCAUCCUAAGCUGAUUGUAGGAGUCUUCCAAAAUGUACGCCCGUCGGACAGAAAUUCUAACAGGACUGUGAUGAUGGUCAUGCUGAUGCUUAAUUUUAGACCGGAAAUAUGCACGUUUGUUGUCAAAAUCAAUCAAGCGGGGGACCUUCAACAUCAGAGAGAAAGAUUUUUCUAGCAACCCAGAGUUUUGUCGGAUAAAAGCAUUUAACAAUCUUCUGUGUUUCUCCGAGAAUUUAACAAAAGCAGUGUGCUUCUCAUCAAGACUGGUAUGGCUUGCAGAUGAUUUUUGCCCACUACUAGAUGUUGAAGCAUCCUCCAUAUCAGAUGUUGAAGGCUCUUGAACAGCAUCAGGUUGUCCUGGACGUAACUUCUCGCAUGUCACAAAAAAGGAUUCUAUGUACGGUAAUAUAUUCUGGGUUCCAGCUGGCAAGGGAGGUGCUACACCAGUUGAUACUCUAGUUGCAUUUGCAGAAGUUGGACUCAAAUUUGAUGUAUAAUCUGAAGAGCUCUCUAUUUUGCUUAUGCAGUUGCUUAGCUCCAACCACAACGCAUCCAAUGCUGUGUUAAUAUCAGAAAUCUGGGACAGUGCAUCUGAAUGGUCCUUCUCUGCAAGAAGCUCUGGAUCU
This 1115-nucleotide long non-coding RNA is filed under the name Triticum aestivum (bread wheat). RNAcentral's name for it is "long non-coding RNA (TAES_LNC006950)". The record is from RNAcentral. Lineage: Eukaryota; Viridiplantae; Streptophyta; Magnoliopsida; Poales; Poaceae.